Macaca fascicularis (crab-eating macaque) is the source of this 2316-nucleotide long non-coding RNA. The record is from Ensembl. NCBI's taxonomy places the organism in Eukaryota, Metazoa, Chordata, Mammalia, Primates, Cercopithecidae.
AUGUGCCAAGGAAAGGCGCUGCUCUCACCAGCCUGGGUCCAGGGCUCUGGGCCACCAUUGACGUGUCGGUGCACACCAACGGCGUCCCCGGGGAGCUUACCUGGCACUGCCAGAGCAGAGCAGCUCUGCUGCAAAUCCAUGCUAACUCGGAAAGCUCUUGAUGACCCAGAGCAGUUGGCUCUGCUGUCCUCUACCUUGCACUGUCCAGAGGACUUGGGAUGGCAAGCUACUUGGGAAGUCAAACAAUCAGAAGGAUGCUUGGGGAACAGGCAGUCAGAACAGGAGCAUGGAGUUUGAUGAUUCCAACGUCCAGCCACACGGUAAGAUACACCUGUCAGGCAGGGCAGGCGCUGGGCUCGGGAGCAGAGAACCUGCUCCCAGGGUUGGUACUUAGGUGGGCUUUGCAGCAGUUUUCCCACAUAACUGUCCUUUCUGGCGUUUCCAUUUUAGGCCUGCAUCUUAUCAUGCUAAAGGGCCUUCCCCUCGCCCUGAGAUGUGUUUGACUAGCCUGCUUUUAAUUCAUGCUGGAUGUGAAGGCGGUCCAUCUCAUUGAUGGAGUUUUGUUUUGUUUAGCUCUGAUCAUGCUGUGUUGAUUGUGUACCUUAAUUCUCAGAGACAAAACCGAUUUCCAGGUUCUUAAAGAGCACUCCUGCAUGGCCUCCAGGGUGCCACGCCACCCCCUGCAGCUGCACGAGCUCCUUCUCAUUCUUUAUUCCUUUAUGUGCUCCCUGUGAUUAACCUGGCUGCUACUCCUGUGUCCAUGGCUUGGGUCUGCCUCAGCCACCUCCGGCCCCCAACAUCCCCACAUCUUUCUCAUCAGAGGGUGGUGGCACCUUUUGCUGCUCAUGGUCCAGCAUUGUCACAAGGAUCAGAUGGCAAACAAAGCACAGCGCUGUGAAGUCUGUGCAGAGAGAAGGGAUUCUAAUUUCUUUUCUUAAAAAAAAAAUGGCUGUUGGGCUUGAUUUUCUUCAUUUCAGAUUGUCUGGUGGGACCCAAGAGAAAGGUGGAAAAUCACUUUAAAACAACUUCGACUGCAAACCCGUUUCCAUGAAGUUCCUCUAGACUUUUGUUAUGUUAGUAAAUCUCCCCACAUAAUCUCAUUUGGCAUAAUCUCAUCUUUCACUUUGGUACAAGUGCUUUAAGAUUUGAUCACAGAUCUCUUUUUCACAGAUAUCCUAUUCACUAGCACCCUAAUGUACACAAAUGCUGUUUGGUUAAGAGGUACUAGCCACAAAAUAAAAAAUAUAUCUAAGAAUUAUCUGAUAUGACUUUGCAAAUGCCUAUCAACCAGCAAAGCGUUGCAAUCAACCAGCAAUACACAGUUGUUUAGUAAUGCAGAUCAUUGCCAGCUUCACUCUUGUUAAUUCGUGGCUCAGGUCCUUAGACUUUGACUUCAUCUCCUGUUUUGGGAAGCUUUGCUGAACUUUAACCCGGGCUCUGUAUCCACCAGUGCAUUGCCUUGAAGCCUGUUUUGGUUUACCCAGCCCUCAAUGGGCGUCCACCUGCUUACCGCUCCUCGGAAUACCAGCCUUCACAGAAACUGCACCAGGAGAUAAUUAGUCACGCUAACAACCUCGGAAAGCACUGACGAGGCUGUUCAGACCCCUCAUUGGAAACCGGAACAGGAGCUGUUGCUCUAUAAUUAGUGUAUCACGCAUAACUCCAAGCUGCUCACCUUCUGAUACCUGGCUGCCCUCACCUUGUCUGCAUCCCAACGCACAAUGGAAGUGAGCGCCUGGCCUGCCAUGGGUGUACAGGGUGUGUGGUGCAAUAUUUUGUGAGCAUCAUGUACCUGCAACUCUCAUUAAUUAAAAAGACAGCUGGUACCCUAAAAAAAAGAGGCACAGUUCAUUUAAUGACAGGUAUUUUAAAUGUGUAUGCUAAUUUCAGGUUUUUCCUUUCAUCCCUCGGAAACACAGACGCGGAAGGAGGCUGCUGGAAGGAAGUGUGUGAGAUGAGCUUAUUUGUGAGUGAGCAGGAGGGAAGGGGUGGUGAACUUUCCUCCCAGGACGAGACGUGUACCUGCACUUCUCAGCCAUGAGUGUCGGGAACCAGUCCUGGAGAAGCAAGACAAAUCGCUUCCCUGUGAAGGUGCAUACCCUUUUCCUUUAGGAACAGUUGCGUCCUAUUCUCUGCUAUAGAAAACCAUCAAAGUCUUUUUUGACAUCUCUGACAUGAAAUAGUGAAGACAGUGCAGAAAGAUGCUGCCUGGUCCCUAAUGACCUUGUGUGGAGAGGGGAACAGAAACAGCUCAUUAGAGUGAUUUAAUGUGGUAUUUUGUUAAAACUAAAUCAAAAUAAUCUAUGGAAUGUGGCU